Molecule: long non-coding RNA, 295 nt
Organism: Carcharodon carcharias (great white shark)
Lineage: Eukaryota; Metazoa; Chordata; Chondrichthyes; Lamniformes; Lamnidae
Exons: 3
Source: RefSeq, a predicted model, not a curated record
AUGCAAUCAAAGAUAUUGGGGAACGAUAACCACAGAAGAGUCAGGACUGAUGUGAAGACCGAAGUCACCCAGAUAUAGAACAACGUGAAAACCCUGGGGGAGUGACUAGACCUUCUGUAACAGCCGGCGAGGCAUAAUUUAUCCCAGAUCAAGGGCAAGUUCUCCAAGCAUGGAGGAUUAUCUACGAGCGUGGGAAUGCCCGGACCUUCUGUAACAGCCGGCGAGCCUUAAAUCAUCCUAGGACUUGGGCAGGUUCAACAAACAUGGUGGGUUGUCUGCAAGCUCGUGGACAUGG